Molecule: long non-coding RNA, 210 nt
Filed under: Elaeis guineensis (African oil palm)
Lineage: Eukaryota; Viridiplantae; Streptophyta; Magnoliopsida; Arecales; Arecaceae
Description: long non-coding RNA (EGUI_LNC064175)
Source: RNAcentral
AGGUUGAUAGUUGGUGUCGAAUUCUAUGAGCUCGACUGCCCAUUUUGCUAUCCUUCUAGAAACAUCCGCUCGAUACAGAACUGCCUUAAUCGGCUGAUCGGUGGGCAGUGUUAUGGUGUGCCCUUAAAAGUAAGGUCGGAGCCUUCGAGCUGUAAUCAACAAGGCGUAAGUUAGUUUCUCUAACUUAAUAUACCUGAUUUCGGUGUCUCU